Molecule: ribosomal RNA, 252 nt
Filed under: uncultured bacterium
Lineage: Bacteria
Description: partial 16S ribosomal RNA
Rfam family: Bacterial small subunit ribosomal RNA
Source: RNAcentral
GACGAACCGUGCGAACGUUGUUCGGAAUCACUGGGCUUAAAGGGCGCGUAGGCGGGCGGUCAAGUCCGGGGUGAAAUCUUUCGGCUCAACCGGAAAAGUGCCUUGGAUACUGACUGUCUUGAGGGAGGUAGGGGUAUGUGGAACUUCCGGUGGAGCGGUGAAAUGCGUUGAUAUCGGAAGGAACGCCGGUGGCGAAAGCGACGUACUGGACCUCUUCUGACGCUGAGGCGCGAAAGCUAGGGUAGCGAACGG